GACGAACGCUGGCGGCGUGCUUAACACAUGCAAGUCGAACGGAAAGGCCCUGCGUUUGUGGGGUGCUCGAGUGGCGAACGGGUGAGUAACACGUGAGUAACCUGCCCUUGACUGUGGGAUAACUUCAGGAAACUGGGGCUAAUACCGGAUAGGAGCUCCUGCUGCAUGGUGGGGGUUGGAAAGUUUCGGCGGUUGGGGAUGGACUCGCGGCUUAUCAGCUUGUUGGUGGGGUAGUGGCUUACCAAGGCUUUGACGGGUAGCCGGCCUGAGAGGGUGACCGGCCACAUUGGGACUGAGAUACGGACCAGACUGCUACGGGAGGCAGCAGUGGGGAAUAUUGCACAAUGGGCGGAAGCCUGAUGCAGCAACGCCGCGUGCGGGAUGACGGCCUUCGGGUUGUAAACCGCUUUCGCCUGUGCCGAAGCGUGAGUGACGGUAAUGGGUAAAGAAGCACCGGCUAACUACGUG
This 468-nucleotide ribosomal RNA is filed under the name uncultured bacterium. RNAcentral's name for it is "partial 16S ribosomal RNA". It matches the Rfam family "Bacterial small subunit ribosomal RNA", at positions 28 to 507 of the family's 1533-position model. The record is from RNAcentral.